Molecule: ribosomal RNA, 218 nt
Filed under: Escherichia coli ThroopD
Lineage: Bacteria; Pseudomonadati; Pseudomonadota; Gammaproteobacteria; Enterobacterales; Enterobacteriaceae
Description: partial 23S ribosomal RNA
Source: RNAcentral
CCCCGGCCUUUCGUUUCUGUCUGAGUCGAUAGCUUUCUCCUUUGAUUUGAACGACAUGUGAGUGGUGUAAGAUACGGUCCAGCAUCGCUGAGGUCAGGGCUGCAUCACCGGCGAACGUUUGAUCCCACUGCCCGAACGGCAGAUUGGAUGUCAGGAUCAUUGCGCUCUUUUCGUAACGUUUAGCGAUGACCUGGAAGAACAGUUUUGCUUCUUCCUGA